Molecule: ribosomal RNA, 405 nt
Filed under: Kryptoperidinium sp.
Lineage: Eukaryota; Dinophyceae; Peridiniales; Kryptoperidiniaceae
Description: partial large subunit ribosomal RNA
Rfam family: Bacterial large subunit ribosomal RNA
Source: RNAcentral
CAGAAAGACCCUAUGAAGCUUUACUGUAAGUUGAAAUUGAAAUUGGACUUUAUUUGUGCAGUAUAGGUGGGAGACGUUGAUUAUAAUCUUGCGAGAUUAUUGGAGUCAUUAGUGAGAUACCACCCUUGUAAUGUUAAAUUUCUAACUUUGUAUCAUUAUCUGGUCAAAGGACAGUUUCAGGUGGGCAGUUUGACUGGGGCGGUCGCCUCCUAAAUGGUAACGGAGGCGUACAAAGGUUUCCUCUGAACGGUUAGAAAUCGUAUCUAGAGUAUAAAGGCAUAAGGAAGCUUGACUGUGAGACUUACAAGUCGAGCAGGGACGAAAGUCGGUCUUAGUGAUCUGACGGUACUGAGUGGAAAGGCCGUCACUCAACGGAUAAAAGUUACUCUAGGGAUAACAGGCUGA